Molecule: ribosomal RNA, 464 nt
Filed under: uncultured bacterium
Lineage: Bacteria
Description: partial 16S ribosomal RNA
Rfam family: Bacterial small subunit ribosomal RNA
Source: RNAcentral
CUACGGGGCGCAGCAGUGGGGAAUAUUGCACAAUGGGCGCAAGCCUGAUGCAGCCAUGCCGCGUGUAUGAAGAAGGCCUUCGGGUUGUAAAGUACUUUCAGCGGGGAGGAAGGGAGUAAAGUUAAUACCUUUGCUCAUUGACGUUACCCGCAGAAGAAGCACCGGCUAACUCCGUGCCAGCAGCCGCGGUAAUACGGAGGGUGCAAGCGUUCAUCGGAAUUACUGGGCGUAAAGCGCACGCAGGCGGUUUGUUAAGUCAGAUGUGAAAUCCCCGGGCUCAACCUGGGAACUGCAUCUGAUACUGGCAAGCUUGAGUCUCGUAGAGGGGGGUAGAAUUCCAGGUGUAGCGGCGAAAUGCGUAGAGAUCUGGAGGAAUACCGGUGGCGAAGGCGGCCCCCUGGACGAAGACUGACGCUCAGGUGCGAAAGCGUGGGGAGCAAACAGGAUUAGAUACCCGAGUAGUC